ACUAGAUUCUGAGAGGUAAAUGUAUUAGGUUAUUUUAAGUUUUUCAGAAUGACUAAGGGGAGAAGGGGCGGGGUCAAAAAAGAAAAAUAAAAGUUUUCCUAAAAUACAUCAAUUUCAAAUACUAAAAUAAUUUUUAGUAAAUUGAACAACUUUAAAUUUCAAAAUUUAUGCUAUAAAAAUAUUAGAACAACAGAACACCUUACCCUGGUACAACUAGGAUUAAAAUCAUCUCAUAUUUAUUUCUAAUCAUGUCACUGUAUUGCUACUGUUUUCUGGACUGAAAGUAAAUGAUUUAUUCACAGUAGUGUGACACAAUUAUGUAUGAUUGAUUGGUAUGAAAUAGAAAGGGACUUUGUCCUCAGCCAAAGCUAGGAACUGGGCCUGUCCUAUGUACACUGUCUGUCCAUCUGCAGCUAGCCAGCUGAAUGACUGCUUGCCCUUUUGAUUCCAUUCAAAAUAAUGCAAUGACCUCAACCUUACCAGACUUUUCACAAUCUCAUCACGAUUUUUAAAUUCCAAGAAGAAACAAGCAGAAACAAAAUCAUAUACAAGAACCCAUAAAGUUCCGAGCUUGGACUGCUGUUAUGGCACAGAAUCAAGCUGCCGCUUGCAACGCCUGCAUGCUGUAUCAGAGUGCUAGUUUGAGUCUUGGCUGCUCUGCUUCUGAUCCUGCUCCCUGCUAAUACACCUGGGAAGGCAGUGGAAGAUGGCCCAAGGACUUGGAACCCUUCCACCUCUGUGGGAGAUCCAGAUGGAGUUCCUGGCU
This is a non-coding RNA of Oryctolagus cuniculus (rabbit), 766 nucleotides long. The record is from RefSeq and is a predicted model, not a curated record. NCBI's taxonomy places the organism in Eukaryota, Metazoa, Chordata, Mammalia, Lagomorpha, Leporidae.